Molecule: long non-coding RNA, 259 nt
Filed under: Citrus maxima (pomelo)
Lineage: Eukaryota; Viridiplantae; Streptophyta; Magnoliopsida; Sapindales; Rutaceae
Description: long non-coding RNA (CMAX_LNC000454)
Source: RNAcentral
GGCUUUGGCCAUCUUACUCAUUCACUUGGGAGAUUAUAGUAGCAAAUUUGCAAUAUUUUUGAGGCUGUGAAUGGUUCAGUAAUAUAUUUGGCUUCUGAUUUUAUAUUUGCAUUAAAUAUUAUGCAUUUUGAUGAUGAUGAUGAUGAUGAUGAUGAUGAUGAUGAUGAUGAUGAUGCUUGAGGUAACAAAAACUUUGCAUAAAGUUUAUUUAUUGAUGUGCUUGAAGGAUGAAGCACCCCAUCUUGUCAACCCACUUGUG